UGAAAGUGGUAAGGGCGAAUACUUCCGGUUCGGCUGUUCACCCACGGCAAGCAAUGGCAUUCUACACUCGCUGCCUGCAGGACCUCCCAAGAUUAACAAUCAGCGACGUCCUCCGGUUUAUACGGACUUUAUCUUCUGCUCCACGGAGUAAAAAAGAAAAAGGCUUUAAGUUUUACGUUUCAAACUACAUUGACAACUUUGAAGAUUACAUUUGAGGACUGUUCCCCGGUGGAGAUCGCAGACGUUGGGUGUUCCUGUGUGGCUGGUACAGUGCUGUGCAAUCACAGUGUUGCAUUGCUUUACCAAACUGCACACUACUGUGCUCUGAAUUUGACUUCAGUGCCACCAGUACUAAGCUGUACGGAAACUGAACAGAGCUGGCACAAACCAAGGACCAUGGGUGUGAAACCAGGCCGUGUGCGUGACAUGGUUUUUAAGUCUGCAAGACCAAAACAGCAGCGCACGGUCGGAAAUGGUGUAAGGAGCAAACGUUACAGGGCAGUGCGAGGUGACACACCAGACCCUGAUGUUCUCAGGGUAGCAGAGGUGUACCAGGACUUUCCAGCUGACCUUGCACCUCUCAUUACUACGAUGGCAAUUAGUGCUGAUGUGCCUUUAGUGGAUU
This is a long non-coding RNA of Cyprinodon tularosa, 625 nucleotides long. RefSeq lists it as uncharacterized. Lineage: Eukaryota; Metazoa; Chordata; Actinopteri; Cyprinodontiformes; Cyprinodontidae. The record is from RefSeq and is a predicted model, not a curated record. The transcript has 4 exons.